RNAcentral lists this long non-coding RNA (912 nucleotides) under Homo sapiens (human). Its description in RNAcentral is "long non-coding RNA NONHSAT157117". The record is from RNAcentral. Lineage: Eukaryota; Metazoa; Chordata; Mammalia; Primates; Hominidae.
GGCUACUUGGCGUCGAGCUUGGCCAUCUCCUGCACGUAGAUGCCGAUGCUCUCGCUGUCGAAGAGCAGGAAGUACACGUUCUUCAGCGAGGACGCGCUCGAGUCAUCAAAGUGGGCUGAGAUGGCUUUGAGGGUCACCUGGGCCUGCCGCUGGGGAAAGGCGGGAACGCGACGGACUUUAGCUUCUUGUCCUCCGCCGCUGACAGGCAGUUUUUGAUGGUCUCUUCAAGCUGUUCUUCACAUUUGUCGGAGCCCCACUGAGGGAUGUGACAGUGGAUGACAAAUUUGGCUGCGAGUCCACUGGAUUGGCUGACGGCCUUCGGCGACUUCCAAAGGGCCUUGGGAUUUGCGAAGCUCCUUUACCGUUUCCAAGAACUCUUUUCCCCCAGCCUUUUCCAAGGCUUACCUAUAUCUUCUUUGAGGUCAAUUUCGGCUGUGGUUGGGUGGACAAUGCCCUCCACUCUCAUGGAGCCAAUAUGGCUGAUGUCACUCUGGGCCUUCUGUCCCAGAACAAGGCUCUUAGAAGACAGAAUGGUGAAUCCAUCCCCUGGCCCAUCUUCAGAGGUGGAAUUUGAAGUUCCUUCUUUAUCGCUGUCCUUUGGUUUGGACGGACGUCCGUGGUUUGGCAGCCUUGGAUUUCUUCCCCCCCUUCUUGCCUGACGUGGCCUUCCUGCCUCUUUUCUCUGGGGGUGGGGAGAGGAUCGUUUCCGACUUGCCUUUGGUCCCUCGCUUUUUGGCCAGCAGUUCGGGGUGAAUUCUGGGCAGGACGCCUCCACUGGCGAUGGUCACUCCUUUUAGCAGCUCCUGGUUGAGCUCCUCGUCAUUGGCAACUGCCAGCAAGAUGUGUCUCGGGGCUAUCCGGGCCUUCUUGUUGUCCCUCGCGGCAUUGCCGGCCAAUUCUAGAAUUUCCGCU